This 920-nucleotide ribosomal RNA is filed under the name uncultured Mycobacterium sp. RNAcentral describes it as "bacterial SSU rRNA". It matches the Rfam family "Bacterial small subunit ribosomal RNA", at positions 106 to 1026 of the family's 1533-position model. The record is from RNAcentral. Lineage: Bacteria; Bacillati; Actinomycetota; Actinomycetes; Mycobacteriales; Mycobacteriaceae.
AAGAGUAACACGUGGGCAAUCUGCCCUGCACUUCGGGAUAAGCCUGGGAAACUGGGUCUAAUACCGGAUAGGACCUCAAGACGCAUGUCUUCUGGUGGAAAGCUUUUGCGGUGUGGGAUGGGCCCGCGGCCUAUCAGCUUGUUGGUGGGGUGACGGCCUACCAAGGCGACGACGGGUAGCCGGCCUGAGAGGGUGUCCGGCCACACUGGGACUGAGAUACGGCCCAGACUCCUACGGGAGGCAGCAGUGGGGAAUAUUGCACAAUGGGCGCAAGCCUGAUGCAGCGACGCCGCGUGGGGGAUGACGGCCUUCGGGUUGUAAACCUCUUUCACCAUCGACGAAGGUCCGGGUUUUCUCGGAUUGACGGUAGGUGGAGAAGAAGCACCGGCCAACUACGUGCCAGCAGCCGCGGUAAUACGUAGGGUGCGAGCGUUGUCCGGAAUUACUGGGCGUAAAGAGCUCGUAGGUGGUUUGUCGCGUUGUUCGUGAAAUCUCACGGCUUAACUGUGAGCGUGCGGGCGAUACGGGCAGACUAGAGUACUGCAGGGGAGACUGGAAUUCCUGGUGUAGCGGUGGAAUGCGCAGAUAUCAGGAGGAACACCGGUGGCGAAGGCGGGUCUCUGGGCAGUAACUGACGCUGAGGAGCGAAAGCGUGGGGAGCGAACAGGAUUAGAUACCCUGGUAGUCCACGCCGUAAACGGUGGGUACUAGGUGUGGGUUUCCUUCCUUGGGAUCCGUGCCGUAGCUAACGCAUUAAGUACCCCGCCUGGGGAGUACGGCCGCAAGGCUAAAACUCAAAGGAAUUGACGGGGGCCCGCACAAGCGGCGGAGCAUGUGGAUUAAUUCGAUGCAACGCGAAGAACCUUACCUGGGUUUGACAUGCACAGGACGCGUCUAGAGAUAGCGUCUGUGUCCUCUCG